Molecule: long non-coding RNA, 2575 nt
Organism: Eublepharis macularius
Lineage: Eukaryota; Metazoa; Chordata; Lepidosauria; Squamata; Eublepharidae
Exons: 3
Source: RefSeq, a predicted model, not a curated record
GGGUGGAGUGAAUGCUGGCAAAAUCUAUAAAGCAUGUCCCAACCCAGUGCUUCUCAAAUACACCUGUAGUGCCUCUGGGUUAGAGCAUAAGUUUUUGGUAUUUUGGUAUUUUUAAGAUACAAGAACAUGGCCAGCCUGAAUAGUGAUGAACUUUUAAAACUGUUCACUGAGUUUGCUAUGAAAGAGGGUAGUACUCAUCUGCUCUCCAUGACAGGUGUUAACAACUUGCUUCAGACUCACUUCUCAAAACUUGUGGGUCCAAUCUCACUUGGUGAUAUAGCCAAAUACGUGGAGCUAGAUAAAGAUGGAAAAGUCAACUUUAAUAUUUUUAAGGCACUGAUAAGCAAGCUACAAGGAUUUUCUAGUUUGAGUGGAUUAACAAAUCUGUUUCCCUAAACAUCCCAUGAAGAGGAAGAAAAUAGAGGGGAGGGGAUGCAACCUGGACCAACACUACUAUGAACAUUAAGUAUGCCUUUUCAUAAAAAAAAAAUUCUAAAAUUAAAUUUAGUCAUUGUGGAAAUAUAGGUAUUUAAUAAAAAAUAUAGUUUGGCUUAAAACCAUGCUUAUAUGAUGAUUGGCAAAAAUAUGGUAGUCAUUUCUCUCCAGUAAUUUCAAAAGAGAAACUCUAAAAUGCUACAGAAAGUUUAUCCUAGUGGGGCAAUUACAUCUGCUACCUCUAAGAGAAACUACAUGAGACACCCGGGCACAUGUCGGGUCCUGCAAAGUUCCUUGGGUAGUGUAGUCUUACAAAGAACAGCAGCUUGAUGCAAUUCUCUGCUGGGGGAAGAGUGAUGGGAGAGAUUCUGUCUCUCUCUCUUUCUUGCAAAAAGCCUUGGAUUGGGUUUUCCUCCAGGAGCUCAGGGACGGGGGAAGGGUGCAUAACAGGAGGCAGGAGAUCCAGGGUGGCUUUUUGCGAAAGAGAGAGAGAGAGAAUUUGCAAAUCUUUUUCCCACCGCUGGGAAGAAGAACAGUGGGAGGGCUCUCUCUAUGUCUCUCUUGUAGCUCAUGUAGUUUGGCUCUGUGAUUACAAGUGGAUCCUGAAAAUCUCGUAGUUGGUUGACAGCUUGUGUGGCUAAUAGUGUGAGCUGUAAACUGGAAAGACCCAACUCCAAAUCUAGCCUCAGACACAAACUACAUGGAUAUGUAAAUCUUUAAUUAAGAAACUCAUGAAGCCUCAAAGCCACUUCAUUCACAGAAGGGUACAGCAGAAUGCAACACAGGUUCCUGCAACUGGAUGGAACUAUGAAGCUUCUGGAUUGACCAUGCGCAGUACAAUUAUUGGAAGUCCCAUUUUCUGCCCUUGUUUGUUAACAAGGAAGUAUUUUCUACAUUCCUUCAUGCUUCAGUGAAGCCCAUAACCAAACUCCAGCAAUGGAGCUCAGAAACCCUACGCUGGAAAACACACACCAGAUCUACACAGCUGCCCCCAGCCCAAUCAGAACCCUAAAAUUAACUCCUGUAAUUGCCCUUUUAUGCCACAGUACUAAACUGCUGAGGUUUAAGAUUAGUUGAGAGGGAAGACUAGUAGUCUUGCACUAUUGAGAUCGGAAGAUUCCCAACAGUUUGUUCCUCCUGAGAUUCCACAUGCAUUCCAGAUUAUCAUAUUCAAAGCUAAGUUAAUGAACACAACAUCUUUUACUAACAAAUUCCACAUUUUAAUGUGUUGUGUGAAAUAGCACAUCUUUUGCCAGUCCUGAAUUCACUGGCCAUAAAUUUCAAUCAGAGGCACUGUUAUAGUCCUACACAAGAGCAAAUAUUUCUUUCUAGCCAAUCUCUCUACAAUACCUGCUCAUACUUUUCUAAAACUAUAUAUACCUCUUCUAACUUUGUUUGAAAAGGUAAUAAAAACAAAUGCUUUAAACUUUUUCUUGUAAGGAAUGUGCUCUAAACCCUUGUCAGUUUUGUCUUCUUAAUGUGCCUGUUCAAUUUCAAAGGUAUCUUUUUGAAAGCAGGGCAACCAGAACUGUGCGCCGUAUUAUAAAUGUGAAUACAAGAAAUAGUUACACAAUGCAUUCAUAAUACAUUAUUUUAUUUCCAAACCGUUUCACUGCUGCAGCACACUGAUAUUUUCUAUGAGCUUUUCAUGGUUCCAAGAUGAGACCCUGUCAAUAUGUGAAGUUUGCAUUUGGUACGUGUAUUGCUGGGCACUUAAAAAUGAUUCAUUUCAUCUGCUGUUCUACUGUUGAAUGUGAUGUUUAAUAGCACUCAUUCCAAUACCUUGCUGUUAACCUUUCUUCAUUGUGAUUAUAAUUAUUAUAAAUUUAUAAUUCUAUUUGUUCCUAUUUGCCAGUUCCUUGUUUUAACCAGCUAUUGCUCCAUAAUAAACUUCGUACCCCAUCACAUAGUUGCCAUUAGAAGCCUUUAAUAAGAGACUUUGUCAAAAGCAUUUUGAAAACUCUAAGCACACACAUUUCUCCAGUGUGUGUGUGAUCUCUCUGUACAUGCUAGCCUGUUCUGGACCACAAUGAAAUGAUAACAAUAUUCAUUAUUUUAUAUAUGAUUGUAUGACUGCACCAGAUUUUUAAAAACAGAUUUGAUUAAAACCAAUGUUUUGCAAGGGAAGGCUUGCAUUAAU